CCUACGGGUGGCAGCAGUGAGGAAUAUUGGGCAAUGGACGCAAGUCUGAACCAGCCAAGCCGCGUGCAGGAAGACGGCUCUAUGAGUGGUAAACUGCUUUUGUACGAGGGUAAACGCAGAUACGCGUAUCUGUCUGAAAGUAGCGUACGAAUAAGGAGCGGCUAACUCCGUGCCAGCAGCCGCGGUAGUACGGAGGAUGCAAGCGUUAUCCGGAUUUAUUGGGUUUAAAGGGUGCGUAGGCGGUCGGCUAAGUUAGAGGUGAAAUCCCGGGGCUCAACUUCGGAAUUGCCUCUGAUACUGUUCGGCUAGAGAGUAGUUGAGGUAGGCGGAAUGUCUGGUGUAGCGGUGAAAUGCUUAGAUAUCAUGCAGAACACCGAUUGCGAAGGCAGCUUACCAAGCUACUUCUGACGUUGAGGCACGAAAGCGUGGGGAGCAAACAGGAUUAGAUACCCGGGUAGUC
RNAcentral lists this ribosomal RNA (460 nucleotides) under uncultured bacterium. RNAcentral describes it as "partial 16S ribosomal RNA". It matches the Rfam family "Bacterial small subunit ribosomal RNA", at positions 338 to 795 of the family's 1533-position model. The record is from RNAcentral.